Molecule: long non-coding RNA, 1492 nt
Organism: Daphnia pulex (common water flea)
Lineage: Eukaryota; Metazoa; Arthropoda; Branchiopoda; Diplostraca; Daphniidae
Exons: 4
Source: RefSeq, a predicted model, not a curated record
CUGGCAAACAAAGGUAACAAAUCAUUUUGAUACUCACGUAAUUCUCCAUGCAAAAUUCAUCAAAAAGCCACCACGCAGCAUCACACAUCACAAAAGACGAAAUCCCCAAGGUGAUAUUGAACGCCACUUUAACUUCUACACUGAGGAGAAGCCGAGAAAGGCACUCAAGUCUCCAGACAGAUAUCCGAUCAUGUUGUCUGCAAGUGAUUCCAGACGUUUCAGUAGCUGGGCAAUCAGUGCUGGACAGUGGACUGCUGAAAGCAGAGGGAAAAAACCCAGUUGGCUACAUACUACAAGGCAACAGCAAAUGUAAAGUCAAUCACAAACGAUUGUGAAGAUGAAAAAUCCUUUCCACACUACCCUAUCUGACAACAACAGCAUGUUCCUGGCUCAUUUGAUCCCCACUCUAGGGACUGGGAAUCUAAUUAAAUUAAUAAUCACCUGUAUCACCCUUUUAGCUUUAUUCCUGUCAUUCUGCAUUUUACCUUAUCUGUGAUAAAUCUUUCUUUUCUUCUGUAGGUUUCCAUGACCAUUGAUAAUUGGAGAGUAGCAUUGGCUUGUCUAUGGCUUCGAUCGUCUGGUCCUAAGUUACACAACACAGAACACAUCAUAAGUUACUUAAAAAAAUCUAAACAAAUUUAGAUUAGGAUUUUUAGCUGAAGUUGUUCUUGUGACCUAGGUGGCUUGUGACAAUAGAAAUCAAGUUAUCCGAUCCAGUAAUGCAAGCUAUGUCUUCCAAAGCUAAAUAGUUUCUACUGUCAUUUCAUUUUUAUGAUAAUAUUUCAGGUUAGCUUCCCCUGUCAAAUUGUGGUAAAUCUUUAAGAUAUUGAUGCCUUCCCCAGAUCCAAUUCUUUGCUGCUUACUCUUCCCUUUUGUAGAUAACAGCAAAAUAAUACUGCCACUCAAGAGGUUGUGGUAACUGCCCCUUAGUUCUAAUUUAGGACAAUGUAACAUAAUUGAUAGAUUUGAGGCGAGAUUCUCACCACCGUUAUAGUUGUUUGGAAAGUGACACCACGCAUUCACUCACUGGAAUCAGGAGGAUGAGGAGGGCCCUGGUCGAACGAGGACUUGGAAGGUGCAUGAUUUGAUGAAAACUUCUGGAGAAUCAUGAGUCUAACCUGGAAACUUCUAUGUUUAUUGUUCCCUAGCCAAAAUGGCUUCAAAUCCAUCUCUCUUCUUCUUUGUCCAGGUAACUCUCCCUGGCACAAUCAAUCAAUGCAGUUGUUUCCCUUUCUUGAUUGACUGCAUGUAUGAGUUUAAACAAAUUGACUAGCAUUUAUGCAUGCAACGAGGAAAAAAGCUACUGGUAAGAUAAAUCUCGGACAGGUAUAUAAUAUACAAUAACCUAACCUUUGUUACUUAAUUAUGUGCACAAAAUAAAUAUUGGCUUUGCAACUGUUGCUCUGUAUUUAUGAAACAUGGUUUUUUAAUUAACGACAUUAUAUUAAGGUUAUGGUAUGAGUUCAUAAAAUGCAUUUUCUGAGCGGUAAUA